AGCACUACAACGGGUGGAGCCUGCGGUUUAAUUGGACUCAACGCCGGAAAACUCACCGGGGGUGACAGCAAGAUGUAGGUCAAGCUAAAGACUUUACCUGAAUCGCUGAGAGGAGGUGCAUGGCCGUCGUCAGUUCGUACUGUGAAGCAUCCUGCUAAGUCAGGCAACGAGCGAGACCCGUGCCCACUGUUCCCAGCAUGUCCUUCGGGAUGAUGGGUACUCUGUGGGGACCGCUGGUGCUAAACCAGAGGAAGGUGCGGGCUACGGUAGGUCAGUAUGCCCCGAAUCUCCCGGGCUACACGCGGGCUACAAUGGUUGGGACAAUGGGUCCCUACCCCGAAAGGUGAUGGUAAUCUCUUAAACCCAACCGUAGUUCGAAUCGAGGACUGUAACUCGUCCUCGUGAAGCUGGAAUCCGUAGUAAUCGCGUUUCAACAUAGCGCGGUGAAUACGUCCCUGCUCCUUGCACACACCGCCCGU
RNAcentral lists this ribosomal RNA (479 nucleotides) under uncultured archaeon. Its description in RNAcentral is "bacterial SSU rRNA". It matches the Rfam family "Archaeal small subunit ribosomal RNA", at positions 875 to 1353 of the family's 1478-position model. The record is from RNAcentral.